This 188-nucleotide unclassified non-coding RNA is filed under the name Glomus sp. RNAcentral describes it as "partial contains 5.8S ribosomal RNA and internal transcribed spacer 2". The stretch from base 1 to 65 matches the Rfam family "5.8S ribosomal RNA", at positions 84 to 154 of the family's 154-position model. The record is from RNAcentral. Lineage: Eukaryota; Fungi; Glomeromycota; Glomeromycetes; Glomerales; Glomeraceae.
GUGAAUCAUCGAAUCUUUGAACGCAAAUUGCACUCUCCUCGGUGAGUACGCCUGUUUCAGGGUCAGCCUAUAAAAUUCGACAUCGUUGCUGUUUCGCGGGGGCGUUCGUCGGCAAUUGGUUCAUCUUAAAUCCUUUUGAUUUAUGCGACUUAAAAUUUUCUUUUUGUUCCAUGAACGUUUCUAGGAUC